GAAAGAGUGACUGAGUGGUCAAAAGUGAGUGAUUGUAAAUCAUUUGGUAAAAUUCCUACAUAGGUUCAAAUCCUAUCUCUUUCA
RNAcentral lists this transfer RNA (84 nucleotides) under Acavomonas peruviana. Its description in RNAcentral is "tRNA-Tyr". It matches the Rfam family "tRNA". From Rfam's summary of the family: Transfer RNA (tRNA) molecules are approximately 80 nucleotides in length. The record is from RNAcentral. Lineage: Eukaryota; Colponemida; Acavomonidia.